AUUGAACGCUGGCGGCAGGCCUAACACAUGCAAGUCGAAUGGUAACAGGAAGAAGCUUGCUUCUUUGCUGACGAGUGGCGGACGGGUGAGUAAUGUCUGGGAAACUGCCUGAUGGAGGGGGAUAACUACUGGAAACGGUAGCUAAUACCGCAUAACGUCGCAAGACCAAAGAGGGGGACCUUCGGGCCUCUUGCCAUCGGAUGUGCCCAGAUGGGAUUAGCUAGUAGGUGGGGUAACGGCUCACCUAGGCGACGAUCCCUAGCUGGUCUGAGAGGAUGACCAGCCACACUGGAACUGAGACACGGUCCAGACUCCUACGGGAGGCAGCAGUGGGGAAUAUUGCACAAUGGGCGCAAGCCUGAUGCAGCCAUGCCGCGUGUAUGAAGAAGGCCUUCGGGCUGUAAAGUACUUUCAGCGGGGAGGAAGGGAGUAAAGUUAAUACCCUUGCUCAUUGACGUUACCCGCAGAAGAAGCACCGGCUAACUCCGUG
Molecule: ribosomal RNA, 490 nt
Filed under: uncultured bacterium
Lineage: Bacteria
Description: partial 16S ribosomal RNA
Rfam family: Bacterial small subunit ribosomal RNA
Source: RNAcentral